Molecule: ribosomal RNA, 382 nt
Filed under: uncultured eukaryote
Lineage: Eukaryota
Description: partial 18S ribosomal RNA
Rfam family: Eukaryotic small subunit ribosomal RNA
Source: RNAcentral
CAAUAGCGUAUAUUAAGGUUGUUGCAGUUAAAAAGCUCGUAGUUGGAUUUCUGGUUGAAGCGACCGGUCGGGCGUUGAUUCGUCUGCACUGGAGUCGGUUUUGGCCAUCCUCUAGGAAAGUGCGUCUGGUAUUAAGUUAUCGGGCGUAUGAUCCUGGUCUUUUACUGUGAAAAAAUUAGAGUGUUUAAAGCAGGCCUUCGCCUUGAAUACAUUAGCAUGGAAUAAUAAGAUAGGACUUUGGUCUAUUUUGUUGGUUUGCAGACCGAAGUAAUGAUUAAUAGGGAUAGUUGGGGGUAUUUAUAUUCCGAUGUCAGAGGUGAAAUUCUUAGAUUUUCGGAAGAUAAACUUAUGCGAAAGCAUUUACCAAGGAUGUUUNCAUUAA